AUGGUGCAAACGAGGAGGCAUAUUAUGUACCCUUUGUUUUAUCGAUUGUUGAAACUAGUAAUUGUGUUGCCUAUUGCUACUGCUAUAGUUGAGAGGUGUUUCUCAGCAAUGAAAUUGGUCAAAACUUGCUUGUGCAAUCGCCUCAAUGAUGAUAGCUUGAGUGAUGAUGUUAUUUGUUAUGUGGAGAAGUAA
This 192-nucleotide ribosomal RNA is filed under the name Triticum aestivum (bread wheat). RNAcentral's name for it is "partial small subunit ribosomal RNA". The record is from RNAcentral. Lineage: Eukaryota; Viridiplantae; Streptophyta; Magnoliopsida; Poales; Poaceae.